RNAcentral lists this ribosomal RNA (148 nucleotides) under Phomopsis sp. E99401. RNAcentral's name for it is "5.8S ribosomal RNA". It matches the Rfam family "5.8S ribosomal RNA". Rfam says of the family: 5.8S ribosomal RNA (5.8S rRNA) is a component of the large subunit of the eukaryotic ribosome. Lineage: Eukaryota; Fungi; Ascomycota; Sordariomycetes; Diaporthales; Diaporthaceae. The record is from RNAcentral.
AAACUUUCAACAACGGAUCUCUUGGUUCUGGCAUCGAUGAAGAACGCAGCGAAAUGCGAUAAGUAAUGUGAAUUGCAGAAUUCAGUGAAUCAUCGAAUCUUUGAACGCACAUUGCGCCCUCUGGUAUUCCGGAGGGCAUGCCUGUUCG